CAAACACCUGUGAGAAGUGUACAGUUUCUCUAAAAUGAACUUUAAUGAGAAGAAUUUUCUAUAAAAUAACGUAUAACAUUGUCUUAAGCUCUUAGAAGAACUUCUAACUGACCUUAAACUGCCCUCUACAGCCUCAAGUGCCAUAUGCUGGACACAAAAUCAGUUCUACCCAGAGUAUGCUAACUUGAAACUCAGGGUUUCUCACAGUCUCCUGCAAGUGCCAGAUGAAGCUGUGUUGAUCAGAUAUUUUGUAAGCACUGAAAGACUCAGACUUUCAAUUCAGCUGAAUAGAAGUGAAGCCCUGAUUGAGUGGUUCAGCUCAGCACAAAGAACUAGAGCACAAUGAGGAGUUCUCCUUUGUUAGUAAUCCCGCAGCACCUCUCUUCAAGCUAUUUUGUUACUUGCCAGUCUUACAGAAACCCAGAGGGACUCCUCACAUGAUAACCUGCUUUUUUUCGAAGACGAAGAUUUUAGCAAUCCAUGCUAAGUGCAAGAAACAGCAAGUACUGGGCUGAGCGUUUUCUGGUCCUUCUGUGAAAGGUGUGGGAGAACAGAAUGGAGAGAUUACCAGGCAAGAGGGCUGUGACUCCUGGUCCACUGAAUAUUAGCGAAGGAUCAAACUCCCUGCAGCAGUCAAGGGAAUAAAAUCUGUUUUACAUCA
Molecule: long non-coding RNA, 661 nt
Organism: Aquila chrysaetos chrysaetos
Lineage: Eukaryota; Metazoa; Chordata; Aves; Accipitriformes; Accipitridae
Exons: 3
Source: RefSeq, a predicted model, not a curated record